UCCUGACUGACCGAUAGUGAACCAGUACCGUGAGGGAAAGGCGAAAAGAACCCCGGCGAGGGGAGUGAAAAAGAACCUGAAACCGUGUACGUACAAGCAGUGGGAGCACGCUUAGGCGUGUGACUGCGUACCUUUUGUAUAAUGGGUCAGCGACUUAUAUUCUGUAGCAAGGUUAACCGAAUAGGGGAGCCGAAGGGAAACCGAGUCUUAACUGGGCGUUAAGUUGCAGGGUAUAGACCCGAAACCCGGUGAUCUAGCCAUGGGCAGGUUGAAGGUUGGGUAACACUAACUGGAGGACCGAACCGACUAAUGUUGAAAAAUUAGCGGAUGACUUGUGGCUGGGGGUGAAAGGCCAAUCAAACCGGGAGAUAGCUGGUUCUCCCCGAAAGCUAUUUAGGUAGCGCCUCGUGAAUUCAUCUCCGGGGGUAGAGCACUGUUUCGGCAAGGGGGUCAUCCCGACUUACCAACCCGAUGCAAACUGCGAAUACCGGAGAAUGUUAUCACGGGAGACACACGGCGGGUGCUAACGUCCGUCGUGAAGAGGGAAACAACCCAGACCGCCAGCUAAGGUCCCAAAGUCAUGGUUAAGUGGGAAACGAUGUGGGAAGGCCCAGACAGCCAGGAUGUUGGCUUAGAAGCAGCCAUCAUUUAAAGAAAGCGUAAUAGCUCACUGGUCGAGUCGGCCUGCGCGGAAGAUGUAACGGGGCUAAACCAUGCACCGAAGCUGCGGCAGCGACGCUUAUGCGUUGUUGGGUAGGGGAGCGUUCUGUAAGCCUGUGAAGGUGUGCUGUGAGGUAUGCUGGAGGUAUCAGAAGUGCGAAUGCUGACAUAAGUAACGAUAAAGCGGGUGAAAAGCCCGCUCGCCGGAAGACCAAGGGUUCCUGUCCAACGUUAAUCGGGGCAGGGUGAGUCGACCCCUAAGGCGAGGCCGAAAGGCGUAGUCGAUGGGAAACAGGUUAAUAUUCCUGUACUUGGUGUUACUGCGAAGGGGGGACGGAGAAGGCUAUGUUGGCCGGGCGACGGUUGUCCCGGUU
RNAcentral lists this ribosomal RNA (1034 nucleotides) under Shigella flexneri. RNAcentral's name for it is "partial 23S ribosomal RNA". It matches the Rfam family "Bacterial large subunit ribosomal RNA", at positions 474 to 1512 of the family's 2925-position model. Lineage: Bacteria; Pseudomonadati; Pseudomonadota; Gammaproteobacteria; Enterobacterales; Enterobacteriaceae. The record is from RNAcentral.